RNAcentral lists this ribosomal RNA (301 nucleotides) under uncultured bacterium. Its description in RNAcentral is "partial 16S ribosomal RNA". It matches the Rfam family "Bacterial small subunit ribosomal RNA", at positions 509 to 807 of the family's 1533-position model. The record is from RNAcentral.
CAGUAGCCGCGGGAAUACGAAGGGGGCUAGCGUUGCUCGGAAUGACUGGGCGUAAAGGGCGCGUAGGCGGCGGCCAAAGUCAGGCGUGAAAUUCCCGGGCUCAACCUGGGGGCUGCGCUUGAUACUUGGUUGCUUGAGUGGGGAAGAGGGUCGUGGAAUUCCCAGUGUAGAGGUGAAAUUCGUAGAUAUUGGGAAGAACACCGGUGGCGAAGGCGGCGACCUGGUCCUUUACUGACGCUGAGGCGCGAAAGCGUGGGGAGCAAACAGGAUUAGAGACCCCUGUAGUCCCUGUCUCUUAUAC